RNAcentral lists this ribosomal RNA (1217 nucleotides) under uncultured Rhizaria. Its description in RNAcentral is "SSU rRNA". It matches the Rfam family "Eukaryotic small subunit ribosomal RNA", at positions 577 to 1804 of the family's 1831-position model. The record is from RNAcentral.
CGGUAAUUCCAGCUCCAAUAGCGUAUACUAAAGUUGUUGCAGUUAAAAAGCUCGUAGUUGGAUUUCUGCGGGGACGGAGCGGCCGGACGCAACUUGCGUCUCGAGCUAGCGCUUUCCCCGCAUCCUGCCGCGAACCGUGCUACCAUUAGUUUGGUGGCGCUGGGGAUCGGCUCGAUUACUUUGAGAAAAAUAGAGUGUUCAAAGCAGGCCACACGCCUUGAAUAAGUUAGCAUGGAAUAAUGACUAAGGACUUCGGUUCUAUUUUGUUGGUGUUCGGGACUGAAGUAAUGAUUGAUAGGGACAGUUGGGGCGGUCUGUAUUCCAAAGCGAGAGGUGAAAUUCUUAGACCUUCGGAAGACAAACAGCUGCGAAAGCGUUCCGCAAGGAUGUUCCCUUUGAUCAAGAACGAAAGUUGGGGGAUCGAAGACGAUCAGAUACCGUCGUAGUCUCAACUAUCAACUAUACCAGCUAGGGAUCGGCCAACGUUUAAUUAUUCGACUUGGUCGGCACCUUAUGAGAAAUCAAAGCAUCUGGGUUCCGGAGGGAGUAUGGUCGCAAGGCUGAAACUUAAAGGAAUUGACGGAAGGGCACCACCAGCCGUGGAGCCUGUGGCUUAAUUUGACUCAACACGGGAAAACUUACCAGGUCCAGACAUAGGAAGGAUUGACAGAUUGAUAGCUCUUUCUUGAUUCUGUGGGUGGUGGUGCAUGGCCGUUUUUAGUUGGUGGAGUGAUUUGUCUGCUUAAUUGCGUUAACGAACGAGACCCCAGCCUGCUAAAUAGCGCGGCCGAGCUUUGCUCGGUGCGAGCUUCUUAGAGGGACCAUGAUGCGCGAUAGCACAAGGAAGUUUGGGGCAACAACAGGUCUGUGAUGCCCUUAGAUGUUCUGGGCCGCACACGGGCUACACUGGCGCCUGCAACGAGCAUAUCAGCUGGCCCGAGAGGGUCUUGGCUAAUCUUUUGAACCGGCGCCGUGCUUGGGAUUGACCUUUGCAAUUGUUGGUCAUGCAACGAGGAAUGCCUUGUAAACGCGAGUCAUCAGCUCGCAUUGAAUACGUCCCUGCCCUUUGUACACACCGCCCGUCGCUCCUACCGAUGAAUGUUCCGAUGAAAUUUUCGGAGAGCGCCAGAGAACGGGGCUCUGCCUUGCAGAUCUGGAGGCUCAAAGUCACUUAAAUCUGAACAUUUCGAGGAAGGAGAAGUCGUAACAAGGUAGCC